UAUGGACAAUACUAUAUUUCUAUAAUCAUGUGAUAAGACAAUCUUACCCACCAAAAGGAAAAAUAGUAAUUAUUUUACAUCAAUUGGCAUGGUAUUUCUGAAUUUUUUUGUAAAUAAAAAAUAAAAUAUAUUGUUGUCCAUAUAAAAGAAUGAAUGUAUAUUUAUCUGCCCAUGACUAAGUCAUCUCUUCAUCAUAUUCAACUCUUAUUUGAGCUUUGAAUGUUUUAAUAGUUCAAGGCAUUAAAAUCAUAGUUAUAACUAUAUAAGUAUUUUCUUUUAUAUAUAUCCCUAAAUCCCUUAAAACUUACUUUACUCAAGUUUGAAACAGGGUCCUCCCACUACAAACUCUACAAUUUUUUUGGAGACAUAAAGUUUGGCAUAAGUAUAGUCACUACACCAAACACCCAUUUCCAUUGUAAGCUAAUUGAAAAAGUAUUGUACAAUCAAACUAAAAAUAAAAUUAUAGAAAGAGUAUUAUAUUGGAGUGAAACCAAAAAAAAAGGGUUGUACUUAUUUUUUGAAAGCGUACUAAAUUGUAAAAAGUAAAAGCAUUUUCUCUACUCCUCUCCAUUGAAAAAAAAGAACUAUUUUCACUCUCUUGCACAUACAUGAUAUUGCUUCUCUCAACUCCGGUAACCAAGCUCUCACGCAUGGACUUGUGGUCAUCUCUCUCAAAUCCAGUAGCCGUAUUUUCUUCUUUGGAAACAUUUUCAUGGGUGGUAAUCUGUGGAGCAGCUGAAAUCAAAUGUUCUUUCAGGUACUUAAUGUGUAAACCGGUGCAUAUGGAUAUAGGAUGUAUCACUUGUGUUAUUGUUAAAGAAACAUCCCUAGAAGGAUUUCGAGGGAGUACUUUGUAUUCUGUUUUGCAGCCUAUGCUUCAACAACUAGGGAAGCAAAAUUCUCAUCUAGUGCGUCUUGUACAAGAGCAUUAGGUAUAUUGAGAUGUCUUUUUGGAGCAAUGCUAGACAAUAUUUGUAGUUAGGUCUUUAGAAUUAAAACAUGUAUUGAACACGAGUUUCAUGCUUCGAAUUAUCUAGUGGAAAAAGAAAAAACUCUAACAAAGAAUGAGCCAAUAGCUCAUUUGUUUUGAAUCAGGAAACAUUUCAAAAUCUGUUAGAAUAUAUGUUAUGGUUUGCUAUGA
This is an RNA transcript of Humulus lupulus (European hop), 1141 nucleotides long. RefSeq lists it as uncharacterized. NCBI's taxonomy places the organism in Eukaryota, Viridiplantae, Streptophyta, Magnoliopsida, Rosales, Cannabaceae. The transcript has 4 exons. The record is from RefSeq and is a predicted model, not a curated record.